UUCCGGUUGAUCCUGCCGGACCCCACUGCUAUCGGGAUAGGACUAAGACAUGCUAGUCGAGCGCUUCCUAGCCAAUUUGGGAGCGCGGCGCACAGCUCAGUAACACGUGGCUAACCUGCCCUUGGGACGAGGACACCCCCGGGAAACUGGGGCUAAUCCUCGAUAGGUGAAGAACUCUGGGAUGAGUCUCCACCUAAAAGACGCUUACGCUAUGCUUGUAGGCGCCGCCCAAGGAUGGGGCCGCGACCGAUCAGGUUGUUGGUGAGGCAACGGCUCACCAAGCCUUUUACCGGUGCGGGCCGUGGGAGCGGGAGCCCGGAGAUGGGCACUGAGACAAGGGCCCAGGCCCUACGGGGCGCAGCAGUCGCGAAAACUUUGCAAUACACGGAAGUGUGACAGGGCUAUCCCGAGUGCCAUCCGCUGAGGAAGGCUUUUACCCAGUUUAGAACGCUGGGGGAAUAAGGAGAGGGCAAGACUGGUGUCAGCCGCCGCGGUAAUACCAGCUCUCCGAGUGGUGUGGAUGUUUAUUGGGCCUAAAGCAUCCGUAGCUGGCCAAGUUAGUCCCCUGUUAAAUCCACCGAUUUAAUCGUUGGUGUGCGGGGGAUACUGCUCGGCUAGGGGACGGGAGAGGCAGACGGUAUUUCCGGGGUAGGGGUGAAAUCCUAUAAUCCCGGGAAGACCACCAGUGGCGAAGGCUGUCUGCUAGAACGCGCCCGGCGGUGAGGGAUGAAAGCUGGGGGAGCGAACCGGAUUAGAUACCCGGGUAGUCCCAGCUGUAAACGAUGCAGGCUAGGUGUUUGGACGGCCACGUGCCGUUCUAGUGCCGCAGGGAAGCCGUUAAGCCUGCCGCCUGGGGAGUACGGUCGCAAGGCUGAAACUUAAAGGAAUUGGCGGGGGAGCACCACAAGGGUGAAGCUUGCGGUUUAAUUGGAUUCAACGCCGGAA
RNAcentral lists this ribosomal RNA (945 nucleotides) under uncultured archaeon. Its description in RNAcentral is "bacterial SSU rRNA". It matches the Rfam family "Archaeal small subunit ribosomal RNA", at positions 1 to 923 of the family's 1478-position model. The record is from RNAcentral.